UACGUAGACCUCGAGCGUUAUCCGGAUUUACUGGGCGUAAAGCGUACGUAGGUGUCUUGUUAAGUCUCUGGUGAAAUCUCUGGGCCCAACCCAGAAACUGUCAGAGAAACUAAUAAGAUUGAGUGUGGCAGAGGUCGAUGGAAUUCCCGGUGUAGCGGUAAAAUGCGUUGAUAUCGGGAAGAACACCAGUGGCGAAGGCGAUCGGCUGGGCCAUUACUGACACUGAGGUACGAAAGCGUGGGUAGCGAACGGG
RNAcentral lists this ribosomal RNA (253 nucleotides) under uncultured bacterium. RNAcentral describes it as "partial 16S ribosomal RNA". It matches the Rfam family "Bacterial small subunit ribosomal RNA", at positions 524 to 776 of the family's 1533-position model. The record is from RNAcentral.